Molecule: long non-coding RNA, 601 nt
Organism: Homo sapiens (human)
Lineage: Eukaryota; Metazoa; Chordata; Mammalia; Primates; Hominidae
Source: Ensembl
AGUCAGGGGAGAGCUGAGAGGCUUCCCUGAGUCACUCCCAUCUCCACAUACAACACCCAGGAAUGACUUAGCACCAAAACACCAAUAAGACUCCUCAGAGGAAAGGAGGGUAGAGUCAAGGGACUAAACUUCAGAAAACAUUGAGGACGAGCUGCCCACACCCACCUCCCUCUCACUUCCAGCAUCCCCAUCAACACCACCCCCUCGAUGGUGAGAGGAAGAAGUUUGGACUGGGAAGAAGAAGGACGAAGUGACGGUCCCCAGAUGGGCUGGGCACGGGACAAGAAGGGAAGGGCUGCAGGACAAGGCAAGAGAGAUCUUAAAUGAUAAUGAUGAGCCAGGAUAAGACAUGGACAAGGAUGGAAUAUGCAAGGAUCAUCGAAAUGUAAAAGCCAGGACCGGAGAGGGAAGCCGAGAGUCAGGAGACCAGGAGUGCCCCGCCACGGGAGAUCAGAGACCCGCAGGUGAGCAGGGGCCACGAGCCGGGAGUCCUGGGGGCCAGGGGUCUGGAAAAGGGAGCGACUGGGAGGGGGUCUGCGAGGGAGCGGGGCGCGAGGACGCAGGGGCCGGAGUGUGCAGCUGGAGCGGCGGGAGCCGGGGC